Molecule: transfer RNA, 67 nt
Filed under: Osteoglossum bicirrhosum (silver arawana)
Lineage: Eukaryota; Metazoa; Chordata; Actinopteri; Osteoglossiformes; Osteoglossidae
Description: tRNA-Cys
Rfam family: tRNA
About the family: Transfer RNA (tRNA) molecules are approximately 80 nucleotides in length. Their secondary structure includes four short double-helical elements and three loops (D, anti-codon, and T loops).
Source: RNAcentral
AGCCUUGCAGUGUUGGUCAUGUUAGAUUGCAAAUCUAAAGAAGUAGGCUAAAGGCCUACCGGGGCUU